Molecule: ribosomal RNA, 305 nt
Filed under: uncultured bacterium
Lineage: Bacteria
Description: bacterial SSU rRNA
Rfam family: Bacterial small subunit ribosomal RNA
Source: RNAcentral
UGUGCCUACGGGAGGCAGCAGUGGGGAAUAUUGCACAAUGGGGGAAACCCUGAUGCAGCGACGCCGCGUGAGUGAAGAAGUAUUUCGGUAUGUAAAGCUCUAUCAGCAGGGAAGAUAAUGACGGUACCUGACUAAGAAGCUCCGGCUAAAUACGUGCCAGCAGCCGCGGUAAUACGUAUGGAGCAAGCGUUAUCCGGAUUUAUUGGGUUUAAAGGGUGCGCAGGCGGCGAGUUAAGUCAGCGGUAAGAUUUCGGGGCUCAACCCCGACGAGCCGUUGAAACUGGCUUGCUAGAGUGUGCGAGAAG